Molecule: long non-coding RNA, 1873 nt
Filed under: Phocoena sinus (vaquita)
Lineage: Eukaryota; Metazoa; Chordata; Mammalia; Artiodactyla; Phocoenidae
Description: lncRNA (ENSPSNG00000018761.1)
Source: RNAcentral
AAGAGCAUGUACACUCCACGUGGGCAUUCCCAGGGUUGUCUUCCCCACCGGACCCUGGUCCGCAUGGGGACGGGGGUGACUGUGACUGCAGUGGUCACAGCUGUGUCCACUUGGAGCCCAGCGUCCGGCUCCUCCGGUGCUGGGGAAUGUUGGUUAAGUGGUUGAGUGAAGGGGUCAAUAUUGUAAAGCGCUUAGAACACUAACAGGUGCAUAAUAAAUGCUCAGUAAAAAUGAGUUACUGUUAGCUGCAGACUAGGAAGUAGCUGAAGACGGGGUGACGGCAGUUCAGGAGGCCUUGCUCUGGGGCCGACGGGAAGCCACAGUGCCCGGCUGUAGACUGGACCAGGGUGGCGGCUCCAGGUGCCGAGGGAUGGAGGGGUUGGAGAUGCCCAGCGGCACCAUGCAAGUCAGCUUCGUGUUGCCAACGCUGCAGCUAGCCCCCGAAACUGGACCGUGUCACCAUCCAGGAGCCCACAGCUCCAUUACUACCCCGAGCCCAGGUGAAACCAGGAGCGAUGCAGGAGGAAGGGGCUAACUCAGGAAAGGAGCCUUAUCCAACCCCAUCAGGACGGUGUCUCUCACACAUUCAUCCCCCCAGCCUGGAUGAUGUCUGCAGAAAGUGCCAACAGCUUCACUCUGCCUCCCGACGCAGCACCGGGGAGAACAAUAGCUGAAGCGUGAAAGUCACUGGAGGCCUUUCUGACAUCCUGUCGGGCCAGACAGGCGUGGCUCACCGCUGGGUGAGGGAGGCACAGACUCUUUUAGGCCACCUGGACACUCAGCUCAGCGUCAUUGAAGAUGAGUGUCAGAGCUGCAAACGAUGUUUGGAGAUCUCAGAGCGAAUGAAGGAGGGUGACAGCGAACAGCUACAGAGGGACUAAAGGAGCUGGCACUGGGGGAGGAGAGGCUGACCACGAGCUGGAAGAAAAGAACCGUGAGACGGUGACAGAAAAUCUUAAGGAUGUCCAGGUUGAAGCUGAGACUGGAUCCAGAGGCAGCUCAGUAUCAGAGGGAAUACAGUGAAUUUAAACGACAACAGCUGGAAGGAUGUAGCAAACCAGGGUGGAUGUGGAGAAAGGCAAGAAGGAAGACGCAGGAGGCAGCGGUGGCUCCUAUUCUACUGAAACCCAGUUCAGCUCUGCGGAACAGCGGAUAAAAGCUCUCAAGUUCAUGCUGUUGAAUCUUAAGUGGGGCCGUGCUUGGGUAUCCUCACAGUUUUAUAAUAAAUGAACUCCUUUUUUUCCUUAGGAAGAUACUUGCCUAAAAGACUUACAUUUUUUGUUUUGUUUGCAAAAAAAAAAAAGUUUUAAAUUAGAUUCAGGAGAUAUCAAACAGCACGUGUUUACAAUCCCAAAAAAGACAAAAUACAGAGAAGCCACUUUAUUUUAAAAUAUCCUUUGAUAAAUAGUUUCCAGAGCUACAGCAGCCCCUGUAUAGGGACCAGCCCUUUUCAUAGUUUUGACUCUUAACCCCAUGAUUUCCUUUUCCUCCUUCCCUUCAAAAUGACUAACUUAAGUUUGCUUUUUUUUUAAACCUCAGUUGAAUUGAAACCAAUGUGUUUUCACUGGAUUUUAUCUCUCUCAACUUCCUGCACUCAAAAUAUGAAAUGGAAAUUUUUGUCUCCAUCGAGAUGUUGAAAUGUAUGAGCCACAUGUUGGAUAUCGUGAGACAAUGACAUAUAAGCUUUGCCUGGCCACCAAAUGAUGUGGUCAGAAGCUUGAAAUUCAACACGCGUCUCUCGGUUCUAGUACUGAAUGCCCACUCUGCCCUGUGUUAGAGAUAUGAAACGGUGUAGGGUACUGUUUGGAUACAUACUAUUAUGUGUAAUAAAAGAUUUGCUGUGGUCUGAAAAACAAAAGUGAGUUACUGUUAU